CAAAAAUUUUGCAUUAAUUUUUAGGUAGCAUAUUUAAAAUAACAUGUUGACAGAAAAUUACCCAAGUUGGACGCCUGGGUGGCUCAGUGGGUUAAGCCUCU
Molecule: long non-coding RNA, 101 nt
Organism: Lontra canadensis (Northern American river otter)
Lineage: Eukaryota; Metazoa; Chordata; Mammalia; Carnivora; Mustelidae
Exons: 3
Source: RefSeq, a predicted model, not a curated record